Molecule: ribosomal RNA, 383 nt
Filed under: uncultured eukaryote
Lineage: Eukaryota
Description: partial 18S ribosomal RNA
Rfam family: Eukaryotic small subunit ribosomal RNA
Source: RNAcentral
CAAUAGCGUAUAUUAAAGUUGUUGCAGUCAAAAAGCUCGUAGUUGGAUUUCUGGUGGGAGCGAUCGGUCUGGCGCUUAGCGCGAGUACUUGCAUCGUCUCCGGCCAUCCUUGGGGAGAGUCUGUCUGGCAUUAAGUUGUCGGGCAGAGGAUCCUCAUCGUUUACUGUGAAAAAAUUAGAGUGUUCAAAGCAGGCUUAUGCCGUUGAAUAUAUUAGCAUGGAAUAAUAAGAUAGGACUUUGGUACUAUUUUGUUGGUUUGCGCACCAAAGUAAUGAUUAAUAGGGACAGUUGGGGGUAUUCGUAUUCCGUUGUCAGAGGUGAAAUUCUUGGAUUUACGGAAGACGAACUACUGCGAAAGCAUUUACCAAGGAUGUUUUCACUAA